RNAcentral lists this long non-coding RNA (449 nucleotides) under Venturia canescens. Its description in RNAcentral is "uncharacterized LOC122410389, transcript variant X2". Lineage: Eukaryota; Metazoa; Arthropoda; Insecta; Hymenoptera; Ichneumonidae. The record is from RNAcentral.
CAUGAACGCUACGCAGGAAAAUACCGACGAAAAAUGCCUAAAGUCUCUUCAGUAUUUCGCGAUACAUUUAUCGUGCAAACUCCGAGGAUUUUUGGCACCUUUUAUAGUUGGAGUUUCCUCAUGGAUGAAAAAUCUUUUGACCCGACAAAUAAAGCCGGUGCAAUCGUCGACAGACUUGGCCGAAUGCUCCCUCGUCGUUUCGUACUUCUCGAUUGCACUUGUCACAAAAGCAGUGAGAAUAUUUAGUCGUUCGAGCGCAGAAUCCUCUGUGGAAAAGAACGGAAGGAACAGAUUAACAAAAAAACGCACUUGAAAACAGUGUCCGGCCGUCGUCCGAGUCAUCAGAAUCAUCGUUGCUUUCAACUUUUUUAACGAUUUCCAAUUUCGGAAUGAAAAGAAGGAGACAGAUGAGAGCAAUGAAUUUAACAAUCAUCUUGAAAAUGACGAGC